This 170-nucleotide non-coding RNA is filed under the name bovine gut metagenome. RNAcentral describes it as "malK-I RNA". It matches the Rfam family "malK-I RNA". The record is from RNAcentral.
GGAACGCCACUCCACUCUAUGGCGCUCUGUACAUUUUAAAAAGGAGGAAUAAAAAAUCCGCAGGCUCACGGUGCGGCAGUGUGGAGACCUGCCGUAAUACAUCACACUCUAUACGGGUGGAUGCGAGGCGGUUUUGGCGGAGGCCGGAUCGCCAGAGUCGAAAAUUAUGU